UGAGUAACACGUAUCCAACCUGCCGUCUACUCUUGGACAGCCUUCUGAAAGGAAGAUUAAUACAAGAUGGCAUCAUGAGUUCACAUGUUCACAUGAUUAAAGGUAUUCCGGUAGACGAUGGGGAUGCGUUCCAUUAGAUAGUAGACGGGGUAACGGCCCACCUAGUCUUCGAUGGAUAGGGGUUCUGAGAGGAAGGUCCCCCACAUUGGAACUGAGACACGGUCCAA
This 227-nucleotide ribosomal RNA is filed under the name uncultured bacterium. RNAcentral's name for it is "partial 16S ribosomal RNA". It matches the Rfam family "Bacterial small subunit ribosomal RNA", at positions 107 to 334 of the family's 1533-position model. The record is from RNAcentral.